UAAGCCUAGAUCUAAGUAUUCCAUGCUUUAAUUAUAGAAAUAGCAUCAGCUAUCCGGCAAAUAAUGAAUCCAAUUAGUAACAAAAAGUACAAAUCCUUGCACAUGUAAACACUUCAAUACCCAAAAAAAAUGGCAACGCAUAGCUUCAAAUUUGAGAAAAUUAAAAUAAAUGCCCCACAAAAGGAAAUAGUGUUGAAAUGCGAUUACCAAAAUUCUAACCAGCCAAGUAAUGCCAAAUGGGUCCAUGCCUCCUAUUGAAUUCCUUCUUUAUGUGCUCAGCUACAGCCUUCUUUACAGUCUACAUUGAGCUUCUCGAACACCAGACAUUUUAUUGAGGCCGACCGGGUCACCAGCACAAUCUCUUAUGCCUUUUCUGGCACCGUGGGUCACUCAAUUCUCAGCCAAUCAGUUAGAAGUUAACAAUUUAGAAUUAAGAACCAAAAUUGCUACAACAGAAAAUAAGCUAGUUCAGCAA
Molecule: unclassified non-coding RNA, 475 nt
Filed under: Hevea brasiliensis (rubber tree)
Lineage: Eukaryota; Viridiplantae; Streptophyta; Magnoliopsida; Malpighiales; Euphorbiaceae
Source: RNAcentral